This 432-nucleotide ribosomal RNA is filed under the name Vibrio cholerae. RNAcentral describes it as "bacterial SSU rRNA". It matches the Rfam family "Bacterial small subunit ribosomal RNA", at positions 1 to 429 of the family's 1533-position model. Lineage: Bacteria; Pseudomonadati; Pseudomonadota; Gammaproteobacteria; Vibrionales; Vibrionaceae. The record is from RNAcentral.
UAAUUGAAGAGUUUGAUCAUGGCUCAGAUUGAACGCUGGCGGCAGGCCUAACACAUGCAAGUCGAGCGGCAGCACAGAGGAACUUGUUCCUUGGGUGGCGAGCGGCGGACGGGUGAGUAAUGCCUGGGAAAUUGCCCGGUAGAGGGGGAUAACCAUUGGAAACGAUGGCUAAUACCGCAUAACCUCGUAAGAGCAAAGCAGGGGACCUUCGGGCCUUGCGCUACCGGAUAUGCCCAGGUGGGAUUAGCUAGUUGGUGAGGUAAGGGCUCACCAAGGCGACGAUCCCUAGCUGGUCUGAGAGGAUGAUCAGCCACACUGGAACUGAGACACGGUCCAGACUCCUACGGGAGGCAGCAGUGGGGAAUAUUGCACAAUGGGCGCAAGCCUGAUGCAGCCAUGCCGCGUGUAUGAAGAAGGCCUUCGGGUUGUAAA